UACGGGGGGGGCAAGCGUUGUUCGGAAUUACUGGGCGUAAAGGGCUCGUAGGUGGCCAACUAAGUCAGACGUGAAAUCCCUCGGCUUAACCGGGGAACUGCAUCUGAUACUGGAUGGCUUGAGUUUGGGAGAGGGAUGCGGAAUUCCAGGUGUAGCGGUGAAAUGCGUAGAUAUCUGGAGGAACACCGGUGGCGAAGGCGGCAUCCUGGACCAACACUGACACUGAGGAGCGAAAGCAUGGGGAGCGAACAGG
RNAcentral lists this ribosomal RNA (253 nucleotides) under uncultured bacterium. RNAcentral's name for it is "partial 16S ribosomal RNA". It matches the Rfam family "Bacterial small subunit ribosomal RNA", at positions 524 to 776 of the family's 1533-position model. The record is from RNAcentral.